RNAcentral lists this ribosomal RNA (430 nucleotides) under bacterium. RNAcentral describes it as "partial 16S ribosomal RNA". It matches the Rfam family "Bacterial small subunit ribosomal RNA", at positions 355 to 776 of the family's 1533-position model. The record is from RNAcentral. RNAcentral also lists the same sequence under 1 other name.
UGGGGAAUAUUGGACAAUGGGCGCAAGCCUGAUCCAGCCAUGCCACGUGUGUGAAGAAGGCCUUUUGGUUGUAAAGCACUUUAAGCGAGGAGGAGGCUACUUGGAUUAAUACUCUAGGAUAGUGGACGUUACUCGCAGAAUAAGCACCGGCUAACUCUGUGCCAGCAGCCGCGGUAAUACAGAGGGUGCGAGCGUUAAUCGGAUUUACUGGGCGUAAAGCGUGCGUAGGCGGCUUCUUAAGUCGGAUGUGAAAUCCCUGAGCUUAACUUAGGAAUUGCAUUCGAUACUGGGAAGCUAGAGUAUGGGAGAGGAUGGUAGAAUUCCAGGUGUAGCGGUGAAAUGCGUAGAGAUCUGGAGGAAUACCGAUGGCGAAGGCAGCCAUCUGGCCUAAUACUGACGCUGAGGUACGAAAGCAUGGGGAGCAAACAGG